AUAUCCAAAGGUAUUCCCCUUUAAUGCAUUAUAAUAAACAUCUGACUGGAGUAGAAUGGUGAUUCUAGUGUGUUUCUUAUACUGUAGGUCAAUUUCGAAUUUCAGAUAAGCAAAUAAGGUCUGCAGGCAGAAGCCCAGUGUGAGCCCCCAGUGUUGGGGAGAAACUGAAGGGGCAGAAGAUCCGGGAGAGGGCCCAGUGGGCAAACAAAUGGAAGUACUGUAAAUCUAAGAUCCAAGUGGAGACUUAUCGGGUGGAGGUUCCCCGAGCUGUGCUAUAAGAGGAGGUGUCCUCCUCAUCCUCUAA
RNAcentral lists this long non-coding RNA (304 nucleotides) under Lepisosteus oculatus (spotted gar). RNAcentral describes it as "lncRNA (ENSLOCG00000022708.1)". The record is from RNAcentral. Lineage: Eukaryota; Metazoa; Chordata; Actinopteri; Semionotiformes; Lepisosteidae.